Molecule: ribosomal RNA, 1665 nt
Filed under: Salmonella enterica subsp. arizonae
Lineage: Bacteria; Pseudomonadati; Pseudomonadota; Gammaproteobacteria; Enterobacterales; Enterobacteriaceae
Description: partial 23S ribosomal RNA
Rfam family: Bacterial large subunit ribosomal RNA
Source: RNAcentral
GAAUGCUGACAUAAGUAACGAUAAUGCGGGUGAAAAACCCGCACGCCGGAAGACCAAGGGUUCCUGUCCAACGUUAAUCGGGGCAGGGUGAGUCGACCCCUAAGGCGAGGCCGAAAGGCGUAGUCGAUGGGAAACAGGUUAAUAUUCCUGUACCUGGUGUUACUGCGAAGGGGGGACGGAGAAGGCUAUGUUGGCCGGGCGACGGUUGUCCCGGUUUAAGCGUGUAGGCUGGUUUUCCAGGCAAAUCCGGAAAAUCAAGGCUGAGGCGUGACGACGAGGCACUACGGUGCUGAAGCAACAAAUGCCCUGCUUCCAGGAAAAGCCUCUAAGCCUCAGGUAACAUCAGAUCGUACCCGAAACCGACACAGGUGGUCAGGUAGAGAAUACCAAGGCGCUUGAGAGAACCCGGGUGAAGGAACUAGGCAAAAUGGUGCCGUAACUUCGGGAGAAGGCACGCUGACACGUAGGUGAAGCGGUUUACCCGUGGAGCUGAAGUCAGUCGAAGAUACCAGCUGGCUGCAACUGUUUAUUAAAAACACAGCACUGUGCAAACACGAAAGUGGACGUAUACGGUGUGACGCCUGCCCGGUGCCGGAAGGUUAAUUGAUGGGGUCAGCGCAAGCGAAGCUCCUGAUCGAAGCCCCGGUAAACGGCGGCCGUAACUAUAACGGUCCUAAGGUAGCGAAAUUCCUUGUCGGGUAAGUUCCGACCUGCACGAAUGGCGUAAUGAUGGCCAGGCUGUCUCCACCCGGGACUCAGUGAAAUUGAACUCGCUGUGAAGAUGCAGUGUACCCGCGGCAAGACGGAAAGACCCCGUGAACCUUUACUAUAGCUUGACACUGAACACUGGUCCUUGAUGUGCAGGAUAGGUGGGAGGCUUUGAAGUGUGGACGCCAGUCUGCAUGGAGCCGUCCUUGAAAUACCACCCUUUAAUGGCUGGUGUUCUAACGUAGACCCGUGAACCGGGUUGCGGACAGUGUCUGGUGGGUAGUUUGACUGGGGCGGUCUCCUCCUAAAGCGUAACGGAGGAGCACGAAGGUUGGCUAAUCCUGGUCGGACAUCAGGAGGUUAGUGCAAUGGCAUAAGCCAGCUUGACUGCGAGCGUGACGGCGCGAGCAGGUGCGAAAGCAGGUCAUAGUGAUCCGGUGGUUCUGAAUGGAAGGGCCAUCGCUCAACGGAUAAAAGGUACUCCGGGGAUAACAGGCUGAUACCGCCCAAGAGUUCAUAUCGACGGCGGUGUUUGGCACCUCGAUGUCGGCUCAUCACAUCCUGGGGCUGAAGUAGGUCCCAAGGGUAUGGCUGUUCGCCAUUUAAAGUGGUACGCGAGCUGGGUUUAGAACGUCGUGAGACAGUUCGGUCCCUAUCUGCCGUGGGCGCUGGAGAACUGAGGGGGGCUGCUCCUAGUACGAGAGGACCGGAGUGGACGCAUCACUGGUGUUCGGGUUGUCAUGCCAAUGGCACUGCCCGGUAGCUAAAUGCGGAAGAGAUAAGUGCUGAAAGCAUCUAAGCACGAAACUUGCCCCGAGAUGAGUUCUCCCUGAGACUACAAGUCUCCUGAAGGAACGUUGAAGACGACGACGUUGAUAGGCCGGGUGUGUAAGCGCAGCGAUGCGUUGAGCUAACCGGUACUAAUGAACCGUGAGGCUUAACCUUACAACGCCGAAG